ACUGUGAUACAUUUUUUGUUUAGAACUUUGAUAAAUAGAAAGUUCGGAAGAACAUCAUUUAUUUAAAAUAGAAAUCAUUGGUAACAUUGAUAAAUGUCUUUACUGUCUUGAUCAAUUUAGCAUCAUUGUGGUCAGAAGCCUGCUUUGCAUUGAGCUGCAUGCUUCAGUGCUCUGGAGGUCUUUAUAGAUCUGUGACUUUAUGAUUUCAUGACUGACAGCUCUCCUUUCUUGAUAACAGAUCAUAAAGCAAACAUGUCUUUAAUAGCCAUCAUUAUUUGGACGCUCACAACCUGCACCUGGAGUUCUGUGGGGCAGAUCCUGACUCAAUCUGAGGAUCAAACAGUGAAUCCUGAUCAAACUGUCACUAUUCACUGUAAACAAACACCAGCUGUGGUUUGUCGGAAAAAGGAUACCUCUCUGUAUUGCAUGUCCUGGUUCCAUCAGAUUCCUGGAGAAGCUCCUAAACUACUGACCUAUUACACAUCAGAGAGAGCUUCAGGUGUUUCUUCUAGAUUCAGUGGCAGUGAAAGUGGAAACCACAUGGAUUUUACUCUGACCAUCAGUGGAGUCCAGCCUGAAGAUUCAGGAGUUUAUUACUGUCAGAGUCUACAUAACAAGGGUGUCUCUGGCACCACAGACUGGGUGUUCACACAGUGUAGAAGCAUCGUACAAAAACCUUUUUGUGUGAGGCUGCAGCGCUGCAGCUUUGAGCUUCUGCAGAUGUUGAAGAUCAUUAUUCACCUCACUGACUUUACACACAAACACACACACAUACAUACAUACACAGAGACUCUUUAAGGCUGCUGAACUGUUGAUGUUCAUUGUUGUGACACACUCCUCAAAAGAUUAUUAAUUAUAAACAUCAAAAUGUCUCAGUCAAGUUUCCACAUGAAUUACAAUCCAAUAAAAUCCAUCCAACCUUGAUGAAAGCAAACUAACCAUGGCCAAAACAACUUCUUAAAUUUAUGUUUUAACUAACAAUAUGAUAAGUCUGGUUCAAUGUGAAAUAAGCCAUAAUCCA
Cyprinus carpio (common carp) is the source of this 1021-nucleotide non-coding RNA. The record is from the annotation of a RefSeq genome assembly. NCBI's taxonomy places the organism in Eukaryota, Metazoa, Chordata, Actinopteri, Cypriniformes, Cyprinidae.